UAUUAUUUUCGCAGAUGCCAUAUUUCAUAAGGCACCUAACCAUGCCACGUGUCCAUCCUAUAAGAUAAUAGAAGUUAUUCUGGGGAAAUAACAUCCAAGUUAUUCUGAGAUAAAUAACACCCAAGCUAUUCCGGGGAAAUAACACCUAAAGAAAAAUUCCCCUGGAGCUUAUCAAAUGACAAGAGGGGGAAUUAGUUCUGCAAUCCAUUAGUCUAGGGAAAUCAUGCCCAAAGGUCAUACAAGUAAGGAAACACAAAGGAGUGGAAUAAUUCCUUAGAUCAAAUGCACCUCCACGUGUACAAAAAUUAUAGGUGACACAUGUCGUUAGAUUGAAGGUUCAAAGCAAAACUCUAAAUCCACAUCACUCAUCAUUUAUAAAUAGAGACCCAUCUCUAAGAGAAAAGAGGUCUUUGGCCUCCAAUAGCACUGUUCAUACUUAGAGAGAGAAACCUAUCUUCUCCAUUUUUCUUCUUUCUUUAAUCUUAAUUAAACACUAACUUGGGCGUUGGAGUGCCUUUUUCAAGUACUCACCCCUCCGGAUUCGAGGCCAAUGAUCGUGACAAGUUCUCCACAAACUAAAAUACAUGUGAAGGUAAACAAAUCAACACUUUCAUUGGUGUUGUCUGUGGGGAACUUGCAAAAUAAAAGUCAUUUUCUCUCACUAAAACCCAAACAACCACCACUCUACACCCACUUUUUCAGAUUAGAUUUGAUUGUGUAUGGUUGUAAAAAGAGGUGAAUACUUGUAUUUAUUCAUUAAAAAUUGGUUUAUGUAUGAGACCCAAACUUCAAGCAAGAUUAAAAAGGCAAUAAAGCCAAAAAUCCAAGCUCAAAAAUGGAGGUUUCUCCUCCAAGUGAGUUACUGGAGAUAAGGAGUAAAGAAAAUGAAAAAUCUAUUUAGUCAACAUUAAACUUUGACCGAACAAUAUAAAGUCAAUAUGGUUGAAAAGGGUCAAAAUGGUCUCUGAAACUAAACCCAAGGCCAAUUUAUCUUUUAUUUUAUUUAUCUUCAUUUUCCUUUUAAUUAUGCUAAUUAUGCUGACUUAUUUACAUUUUUGCCAUUUUGUUUAUUCCCUCAGAAUUUCUUCAUUUUUCUAUGAGUAAGGCUAAGGAAAACCCAAGCAUUCACCUUACCAGGGGGAAUAUAUGAAGGUUAUUAAGUUAACGUGGAUCAACAUAACUCUAUGUUCUAAUCUAACAACUAUGAUUCCGCAUCUAACAUAUUAACACAUUUCAUUUUCAAUUUUCUUAUGCCAUUCUUGACUUUACUUGAUCUACCCAUAAGUAAGGCUAAGAAAAAUCCAAACAUUCACCUCCUCAUAAGGAAUAAACAAAUGGGUAUUACGACAACAUGGAAUAAUCUAACUUUCCUAACAUAUUAUGCAACUAAUGAUUACUCUUAAGUUAUUUGUAAAUUUCAUAAUGUUAGAUGCUAAUUCUGGAAGGAAGUGGAAACUAUGGAAAACCCAAAAGAGUAGCCCAAAAAAGCUAAAAACAUGCAGAGAGGCAAAUUGCCUACUAAAAGAGAAGGAUAGAAUCCACACAAAACAAACCUAAAAGGGCACAUAGAGAACUGAUUGUGAUGAGGAGUAGAGAUUCCAAAGGUGCUUACAGCAGGAAAGGAAAUUUAAAAGAUUCUAAGGAGACUCCAGAAAAAAUAUCCAAGUGGCUUCCACACAAAUGAUGUCAUGGUAGCAUUCCUCAUGGAAAAAGCUAAAGACCAUUUGAAUGACAUUCUAGACUAGUCUAAAUGUUUAUUCAGAUUGAUAGCUUGUAAAAAACGAACAUUUCAUUUUAGCUAUUACGACUACAUGAAUGAUUUCAACUCUUGAAAAUAUUGAUCAAAUUAAUAAUGCACAACACAAGUGACUGAUCAUAAAAUAAUGUACUAAUGAACAUUUGCAUACAUAAACAUUCAUAUUUAUGCAUUGUUAACAUAUGUACAUUCAUAAUGUUGAUUUUGAUGAUAAUAAACAAGAUUAAGAAUGAUUAAGCUUUUAAAGCUCAAAUUAUUUUUUAUACUUUUUAAAUAAAUGAAAUUGGUUGUUUUUCAAGUUCAUGAUCUAAUUGAAAAAGUUUUGAAACUCUAGAAAUGGAAU
This 2099-nucleotide long non-coding RNA is filed under the name Citrus x clementina. Its description in RNAcentral is "Citrus clementina (C. clementina) long non-coding RNA (CCLE_LNC002417)". The record is from RNAcentral. Lineage: Eukaryota; Viridiplantae; Streptophyta; Magnoliopsida; Sapindales; Rutaceae.